GACGAACGCUGGCGGCGUGCUUAACACAUGCAAGUCGAACGAAGUGGCGAACGGGUGAGUAACGCGUAAUCAACCUGCCCUUCAGAGGGUGACAACAGUUGGAAACGACUGCUAAUACCGCCUACUGACGGAGGGGAUGGCGUCUGAUUAGGUAGUUGGCGGGGUAACGGCCCACACAGGCGAUGAUCAGUAGCCGGUCUGAGAGGAUGAACGGCCACAUUUGGACUGAGACACGGCCCAGACUCCUACGGGAGGCAGCAGUGGGGAAUCUUCCGCAAUGGACGAAAGUCUGACGGAGCAACGCCGCGUGAGUGAGGACGGCCUUCGGGUUGUAAAGCUCUGUUAAUCGGGACGCGGUACCGGAAUAGAAAGCCACGGCUAACUACGUGCCAGCCGCCGCGGUAAUAC
This 408-nucleotide ribosomal RNA is filed under the name uncultured bacterium. RNAcentral's name for it is "partial 16S ribosomal RNA". It matches the Rfam family "Bacterial small subunit ribosomal RNA", at positions 28 to 526 of the family's 1533-position model. The record is from RNAcentral.